AUACUUACCUGGCAGUGAAGAUACCAUGAUCACGAAGAUGGUUUUCCCAGGGCGAGGCUUACCCAUUGCAUUCAGGAUAUACUGACUCCUGCAUUCACCCAAAUGUGGGAAACUUGAAGUAAGGAAAUGUGUUCACACCUUUCAAGA
This is a non-coding RNA of Callithrix jacchus (white-tufted-ear marmoset), 147 nucleotides long. NCBI's taxonomy places the organism in Eukaryota, Metazoa, Chordata, Mammalia, Primates, Cebidae. The record is from Rfam.